GAUGAACGCUGGCGGCGUGCUUAACACAUGCAAGUCGAACGGUAACAGGGAGGAAGCUUGCUUUCUUUGCUGACGAGUGGCGGACGGGUGAGUAAUGCUUGGGAAUCUGGCUUAUGGAGGGGGAUAACGACGGGAAACUGUCGCUAAUACCGCGUAAUAUCUUCGGAUUAAAGGGUGGGACUUUCGGGCCACCUGCCAUAAGAUGAGCCCAAGUGGGAUUAGGUAGUUGGUGGGGUAAAGGCCUACCAAGCCGACGAUCUCUAGCUGGUCUGAGAGGAUGACCAGCCACACUGGAACUGAGACACGGUCCAGACUCCUACGGGAGGCAGCAGUGGGGAAUAUUGCACAAUGGGGGAACCCUGAUGCAGCCAUGCCGCGUGAAUGAAGAAGGCCUUCGGGUUGUAAAGUUC
This 410-nucleotide ribosomal RNA is filed under the name uncultured bacterium. RNAcentral's name for it is "bacterial SSU rRNA". It matches the Rfam family "Bacterial small subunit ribosomal RNA", at positions 28 to 433 of the family's 1533-position model. The record is from RNAcentral.